This 253-nucleotide ribosomal RNA is filed under the name uncultured bacterium. RNAcentral describes it as "partial 16S ribosomal RNA". It matches the Rfam family "Bacterial small subunit ribosomal RNA", at positions 524 to 776 of the family's 1533-position model. The record is from RNAcentral.
UACGGGGGGGGCAAGCGUUGUUCGGAAUUACUGGGCGUAAAGGGCUCGUAGGCGGCCAACUAAGUCCGACGUGAAAUCCCUCGGCUUAACCGGGGAACUGCGUCUGAUACUGGAUGGCUUGAGUUUGGGAGAGGGACGCGGAAUUCCAGGUGUAGCGGUGAAAUGCGUAGAUAUCUGGAGGAACACCGGUGGCGAAGGCGGCGUCCUGGACCAACACUGACACUGAGGAGCGAAAGCCAGGGGAGCAAACGGG